UUCUUAUCAAGAGAGGUUGAGGGAAUGGCCCGAUGAAGCCUCAGCAACCUUCAAUGCUUUUACGCAUUGAAAAGGUGCUAAGUCCUGCAAGUUAUGGGAUCAUAACUUGAAAGAUAAGAA
RNAcentral lists this non-coding RNA (120 nucleotides) under Heyndrickxia coagulans. RNAcentral's name for it is "Bacillus coagulans SAM-I sequence". It matches the Rfam family "SAM riboswitch aptamer (S box leader)". From Rfam's summary of the family: The SAM riboswitch is found upstream of a number of genes which code for proteins involved in methionine or cysteine biosynthesis in Gram-positive bacteria. The SAM riboswitch acts at the level of transcription termination control. The predicted structure consists of a complex stem-loop region followed by a single stem loop terminator region. The record is from RNAcentral. Lineage: Bacteria; Bacillati; Bacillota; Bacilli; Caryophanales; Bacillaceae. RNAcentral also lists the same sequence under 1 other name.